CCUACGGGUGGCAGCAGUGAGGAAUAUUGGUCAAUGGGCGCGAGCCUGAACCAGCCAAGUAGCGUGAAGGAUGACUGCCCUACGGGUUGUAAACUCCAUUUAUAAAGGAGUAAAGUGAGGCACGUGUGCCUUUUUGUAUGUCCUUUAUGAAUAAGGAUAGGCGAACUCCGGGCCAGCAGCCGCGGUAAUACGGAGGAUCCGAGCGUUAUCCGGAUUUAUUGGGUUUAAAGGGAGCGUAGAUGGGUUGUUAAGUCAGUUGUGAAAGUUUGCGGCUCAACCGUAAAAUUGCUAUUGAUACUGGCAGCCUUGAGUGCAGUUGAGGUAGGCGGAAUUCGUGGUGUAGCGGUGAAAUGCUUAGAUAUCACGAAGAACUCCGAUUGCGAAGGCAGCCUACUAAACUGCCACUGACAUUGAGGCUCGAAAGUGUGGGGAUCAAACAGGAUUAGAUACCCGAGUAGUC
Molecule: ribosomal RNA, 460 nt
Filed under: uncultured bacterium
Lineage: Bacteria
Description: partial 16S ribosomal RNA
Rfam family: Bacterial small subunit ribosomal RNA
Source: RNAcentral